RNAcentral lists this transfer RNA (78 nucleotides) under Phytohabitans houttuyneae. Its description in RNAcentral is "tRNA-Met". It matches the Rfam family "tRNA". From Rfam's summary of the family: Transfer RNA (tRNA) molecules are approximately 80 nucleotides in length. Their secondary structure includes four short double-helical elements and three loops (D, anti-codon, and T loops). Further hydrogen bonds mediate the characteristic L-shaped molecular structure. tRNAs have two regions of fundamental functional importance: the anti-codon, which is responsible for specific mRNA codon recognition, and the 3' end, to which the tRNAs corresponding amino acid is attached (by aminoacyl-tRNA synthetases). tRNAs cope with the degeneracy of the genetic code in two manners: having more than one tRNA (with a specific anti-codon) for a particular amino acid; and 'wobble' base-pairing, i.e. permitting non-standard base-pairing at the 3rd anti-codon position. Lineage: Bacteria; Bacillati; Actinomycetota; Actinomycetes; Micromonosporales; Micromonosporaceae. The record is from RNAcentral.
UGCGAGGUGGGGAAGCUCGGCCGUUCCCGCGGGUCUCAUAAGCCCGAGAUCGCCGGUUCGAAUCCGGCCCUCGCUCCC